GACAGAGGUGCCGAGCGUUAGGCGGAAUCACUGGGCUUAAAGCGUGUGUAGGCGGGUCGUUAAGUGCCUUGUGAAAUCCCACAGCUCACCUGUGGAACUGCUUGGCAUACUGGCGAUCUUGAGCCACUUAGGGGCAACCGGAACAAACGGUGGAGCGGUGAAAUGCGUAGAUAUCGAGAGGAACACCUGCGGCGAAAGCGGGUUGCUGGGCCGACACUGACGCUGAUGCGCGAAAGCCAGGGGAGCGAACGGG
This 253-nucleotide ribosomal RNA is filed under the name uncultured bacterium. RNAcentral's name for it is "partial 16S ribosomal RNA". It matches the Rfam family "Bacterial small subunit ribosomal RNA", at positions 524 to 776 of the family's 1533-position model. The record is from RNAcentral.